RNA transcript from Folsomia candida, 2389 nucleotides. It is a transcript of the gene named probable palmitoyltransferase ZDHHC11, with no coding region annotated. The record is from RefSeq and is a predicted model, not a curated record. The transcript has 7 exons. Lineage: Eukaryota; Metazoa; Arthropoda; Collembola; Entomobryomorpha; Isotomidae.
ACUGGAGUUGGGCGACUUUUGACAUUUCUCACUGAAAAAGAGUUCGGUCCGUUUCCUGCUGGAGCUAAUUUCCUCUCUCUCUCUCCUUAUCCUUGACCUUAUCUGCGAAGGGCUUAUCUGUCCCGGUGUAUUUAGUCCCCCCUUCCACCACCACCACCACCACGACUUCCACUACCUGUGAGAUUUGAAUUGGAAGGAAGGCGAUUCAUCGAUAGGAGUGGAAUAAAUUUUGGUCAACUUUUCGUCACUUUUUUCUUCGUCACUUGUUUAUCUUCUUGUCAGGUCAUUCUUUUGAGGAGAGAAUGAAGCUCGGAAUUCCGUGGUUACGGAACGGGGGAUUUUUUGAGUCGUUAUGCGACUGGAAAUCGACCCUGAUCCCCCUGAUCCUUCUCGGCGUGACGUUUGCGAUUGCAUCUUUCGGAACGUGGUCAACCUUCAUUUCUCUCGGACUGCUCCCAGUGACGAUAAACGUUGUAAAGAAACAGUGUGGGAUUAAGAACUCGUCUUCUUUCUACUUCAAGUACACGCUGUAUUCGAUGAUCAUCUCCUUCUAUGUCUUUGAAACGGUAACGCGCGGGAUAUUUGCCUCGAUAACUCAGACGGAAUACGCCUUCGCCCUAGCGAUGGGGGGCUGCUGCAUCUUCUGCAUGUUUCUGACCCGCCACCUCUGCGCCUCGCUCCCCGAAGAGUUCAACGCCAAGUUUGGGACGCAGCCGAAAAAGCAAUCCAGCAUAAUUUUGGACCCCGUCAAGAAAAUGAUGUAUUACAGCUACGACUAUUGCAGAAAGUGUAAACGAUUCGUUUCCGGAAGAGAUCAUCACUGCGUCUGGAUAAAUUGCUGUGUUGGUCGCGUGAACAAGUUGGCUUUCGUGGCGACGGUGGCGUUUGGAACGGCUUGGCUCGUGGUAACUGUGAUGAUGAACUUGACCUCGAUUUGCUACCCGGUCUAUCUUCUGAAUGGAAUUGGUUUCAAUGAUGGGACUUCCUCGACAUCGAGAUGGCUCCUGAUUCCGACUAACUGUCCGGAUGUGUAUGGAAAGGGACAGUUCAUGAUUACUUUGGGCUAUAUCACAUCAAUUUACGGGAUCGGAGUCGCCAUUCUCCUCACGUUUGUGCUGAUCCACCAAAUUCGAUUGAUGAUGAUGGGCGUGAGUUACCUGGAGUAUCGGUUCGGAUCGUACAAGAAGACGCCGGUCGUCGACGGAGUGGAGCAGGAGGUCAUUUACCACGAUGUGAACGCCAUUUACGACAAAAACCAGGAUGAUUGUGGCGUCGGAGGAGACGACGGGAGGGAAGAUUUCUCCCACCGAAGACCCACCUUUCCACGAUGGACGCCACCACCGGAAACGCCACUUCGAGGAUGAUAAACUAACUCUUCCUCUCUCUCACUAUUUACCAGAUAAUUAAUUGUUGUUGUUUAUAAAAACUUACUACUCAAAAUUCUUGUGAAGAUAAUUAAUAUUAUGGAACGAAGCGAAGAGAAGAAAGAACGGCGUCAAAAAUUACAUAGGAUUUUAGUAUUAUACGAAAAAUUGUAGAAUUUUAACCUCGUGUUUGUCAUAUAAUCAACUAUGUUAUCAAGAAUGUGCUGUGGAUCUCAAAUUUACCGUGAAACAUGAUAACAAAUUGUUAUCCUAUAGGACUGAAAAUAUUGUAAUCAAAUCAUUCAAAUCCAAAUUUUUUGUCAUUAAUUAUUAAUUAAGUUCAUCUCUGCGCAUAAUUAUUGUUUAAAAAAGCGAUAUAAAUUUGUUAAAAUAUUUUAACCGUUACUUUUUUUUAACUAUAACCAACCAACCAGAAUUAACUGUGAUGUAAUCGAACAAAUGUAAUACAUACGUAUGUACUUAUUUAUAAGUGUAAGAAAUAUAUAAAAAAAAGUUUGUAAAUUUAUUUUAGUUUGGGGGGUAUUAUUUGUGGGGAGGGGGAAUCGCCCCCUGAAAUGUGGAUAUCCAUUAACGUCUCAGAAAUGUUAUUCCUUUAUAAGUUUCUACAUGUUUCAGGGGAUUUAUUAAUCGUGAUUAAUUCAUCGUGAUUAAUUCAUCGUAUCCUUAUCGCAAAUAUGGGGGUGGGGGGAAGUUGGGGGGUUGGGAAGUAAUCAUAUCAUGUAAUUAAUGAAAUAUUCAUGUAGUAAUUAUUCAACGGUGCUGUGCUGCUGUACUUCAUGGUUGUUUCUCCAAUGGAAGGAUCAAGAUCUGCAAUAUUAUCUUAUCGGGAAUUUACUGGGGAAAUUUAUGUUUGAGGAAUUUCCCAAUAUUUCUGAGAAAUCGAUUGGAAUUUUGGAGAAAAUCAUUACACGGACAGUAUUAUUGUCGGGGGAUAAUUUGUGUUUAAUAGCUACAUGUCUUACUUAUUAUGGAAAUGAUCUCAAUAAAAAAAGAUAAGCGUUUAA